Molecule: ribosomal RNA, 604 nt
Filed under: Staphylococcus haemolyticus
Lineage: Bacteria; Bacillati; Bacillota; Bacilli; Caryophanales; Staphylococcaceae
Description: bacterial SSU rRNA
Rfam family: Bacterial small subunit ribosomal RNA
Source: RNAcentral
GGUCCAGACUCCUACGGGAGGCAGCAGUAGGGAAUCUUCCGCAAUGGGCGAAAGCCUGACGGAGCAACGCCGCGUGAGUGAUGAAGGUCUUCGGAUCGUAAAACUCUGUUAUUAGGGAAGAACAUACGUGUAAGUAACUAUGCACGUCUUGACGGUACCUAAUCAGAAAGCCACGGCUAACUACGUGCCAGCAGCCGCGGUAAUACGGAGGUGGCAAGCGUUAUCCGGAAUUAUUGGGCGUAAAGCGCGCGUAGGCGGUUUUUUAAGUCUGAUGUGAAAGCCCACGGCUCAACCGUGGAGGGUCAUUGGAAACUGUAAAACUUGAGUGCAGAAGAGGAAAGUGGAAUUCCAUGUGUAGCGGUGAAAUGCGCAGAGAUAUGGAGGAACACCAGUGGCGAAGGCGACUUUCUGGUCUGUAACUGACGCUGAUGUGCGAAAGCGUGGGGAUCAAACAGGAUUAGAUACCCUGGUAGUCCACGCCGUAAACGAUGAGUGCUAAGUGUUAGGGGGUUUCCGCCCCUUAGUGCUGCAGCUAACGCAUUAAGCACUCCGCCUGGGGAGUACGACCGCAAGGUUGAAACUCAAAGGAAUUGACGGGGACCCG